AGCUCUUCAGUUCCCAGAGAGCAGGGACUCCUGGGAAACAGGAAGUAGCAAAGGCCUGUGAGAAAAUCCCCAGAUGAAAAUCAGCAGUAAAUCUCUCCCAGCAACACUUUGGUCAGAAGAGGGAAAUUCCCCACCAGCCCUCAAAAACAGUCCCUCAAGAAAGCUUAGAGAAGGUUAAUUUGGGAAAUCCCCUCAGAAGCAACAGAACAGAAACGGAAAUCUGCUUCUUAAGAGAAAUCUGAAAAGAGUAAGCCAAUUAGUGGCUGCCUGGGGAGCGCUCAGUGUUAAGCCAUAGUGCUGCUGCUACCUCAUUUCCCUCUUUUCAUCCUGAUCCUGAGGGCAACCCUGACGGGACUCAGUUGCCAGAGCCACUUGACACCCUCUCUUUCUAGGCUCCCACCCCAGGGGAAUGAAUGCAACCAAUGCUAAGCCAGAUUCCCCUCCCAUGCAAACCCUCUCCACGUGUGCGUGCACGCUGAGUAGCUUCAGCCAUAUCUGACUCUUUGUGAUACUAGGGACUGUAGCUGCCAGGCUCCUCUGUCCCUGGGAUUCUCCAGGCAAGAAUACUGGAGUGGGUUGCCAUUUCCUUCUCCAAUGCAUGAAAGUGAAAAGUCAAAGUGAAGUCGCUCAGUUGUGUCCGACCUUCAGCGACCCCAUGGACUGCAGCCUUCCAGGCUCCUCCUUCAUGGGAUUUUCCAGAAUGCUGCUGCUGCUGCUGCUGCUGAGUUGCUUCAGUUGUGUCUGACUCUAUGCGACCCCAUAGACGGCAGCCCACCAGGCUCUCCCGUCUCUGGGAUUCUCCAGGCAAGAAUACUGGAGUGGGUUGCCAUUUCCUUCUCCAAUGCAUGAAAGUGAAAAGUGAAAGUGAAGUCGCUCAGUCGUGUCCGACUCUUCGAGACCCCAUGGACUGCAGCCUACCAGGCUCCUCUGUCCAUGGGAUUUUCCAGGCGAGAGUACUGGAGUGGGGUGCCAUUGCCUUCUCCGUCUCCUAGAAUAUGUGCCCUUUAUGUUGUCAGGACCCAGCACUGUGUGAUUCACAAUCACAGAUUCCACUUUAAAAUACUUUUUGACUCCUGGAAAACUACCCUGCCAAAAAUCACUUUCCUGAUACUUUCAAACAAACAUAGUUCUUGUUUGCUUCAAUUCAUGUGUCUUUGUUAAGAUUCCUUUUUCCAGAAAUUGUAAAGAAUCUUAGCCACCUACUUUUCUCCAUGCUUGGAAUAAGCCAGAAAACUCCUUUUGGGGUUUGCAUGUUUCUAAGCAAUUAGACUAGUCUUUAAGUUCAUUCUGUACACAUGAAUAAUAAUUACAGUAGUUACAUUUAAAUAACAAUCCUAACUUGAAAAUUCUAGUUUAGUCAACACACCCUCAAGAGGCAUUAUUUCUUUUUUUUUUUCAUUUGGGAGCCUAGAAAGUAUUUAAUUCUCAGUUCCUAGCAAGACCAAAGAAUAUUUCUGAUUUUAGGGUAAACUUUUCAUCUCCUCUUGGCGCUACCUUAGUUACAAAUGUGAAAUCAAUUAAAUGAUGCAUGUCAGCAAAAAACAGCCCUUUAAUGCCCGGCACAGAUGAAACAGAUUCCAACAUGGGUCUAAGAGUAAUAAAUAAACUAAUAAAAAAAGGAAACCAGGGAGCAACUUUGCUGGAAGUAAGCCGUUUGCCUUUGCCCUGGAAAGUUUAUCGUGUUUUAAACAAUUGUAAACAUGUCAGUAUACGUGGAUACCGUUUCCAUAGCAGCAUAGCAACAGUUAAGAGUUUCUCCAAA
Bos taurus (domestic cattle) is the source of this 1762-nucleotide long non-coding RNA. The record is from Ensembl. NCBI's taxonomy places the organism in Eukaryota, Metazoa, Chordata, Mammalia, Artiodactyla, Bovidae.